Molecule: long non-coding RNA, 144 nt
Organism: Cervus elaphus (red deer)
Lineage: Eukaryota; Metazoa; Chordata; Mammalia; Artiodactyla; Cervidae
Exons: 3
Source: RefSeq, a predicted model, not a curated record
CGGAUUUGAUCCCUGGAAGACGGCAUGGCAACCCACUCUAGUAUUCUUGCCUGGAAAAUCCCUUGGACAGAGGAGCCUUGAGGGCUAGAGUCUAUGGGGUUCCAAAGAGUCGGGCACGCCUGAAGCACCUGAGCACAGCACAUG